GAUGAACGCUGGCGGCGUGCCUAAUACAUGCAAGUCGAGCGAACAGACGAGGAGCUUGCUCCUUUGACGUUAGCGGCGGACGGGUGAGUAACACGUAGGUAACCUACCUAUAAGACUGGGAUAACUCCGGGAAACCGGGGCUAAUACCGGAUAAUAUUUUGAACCGCAUGGUUCAAUAGUGAAAGACGGUUUCGGCUGUCACUUAUAGAUGGACCCGCGCCGUAUUAGCUAGUUGGUAAGGUAACGGCUUACCAAGGCGACGAUACGUAGCCGACCUGAGAGGGUGAUCGGCCACACUGGAACUGAGACACGGUCCAGACUCCUACGGGAGGCAGCAGUAGGGAAUCUUCCGCAAUGGGCGAAAGCCUGACGGAGCAACGCCGCGUGAGUGAUGAAGGUCUUCGGAUCGUAAAACUCUGUUGUUAGGGAAGAACAAAUUUAUUAGUAACUGAACAAGUCUUGACGGUACCUAACCAGAAAGCCACGGCUAACUACGUGCCAGCCGCCGCAGUAA
RNAcentral lists this ribosomal RNA (514 nucleotides) under uncultured bacterium. Its description in RNAcentral is "partial 16S ribosomal RNA". It matches the Rfam family "Bacterial small subunit ribosomal RNA", at positions 28 to 523 of the family's 1533-position model. The record is from RNAcentral.